Molecule: ribosomal RNA, 287 nt
Filed under: Chrysomya megacephala (oriental latrine fly)
Lineage: Eukaryota; Metazoa; Arthropoda; Insecta; Diptera; Calliphoridae
Description: partial large subunit ribosomal RNA
Source: RNAcentral
CUGGUAUGAAAGGUUUGACGAGAUAUUAACUGUUUCAUAAAAAUUUAUAAUAGAAUUUUAUUUUUUAGUCAAAAAGCUAAAAUAUAUUUAAAAGACGAGAAGACCCUAUAAAUCUUUAUAUUUAGGUUAUUAUAAUUUUAUAGAUUUUUUUUGUUAUAAUAAUUGAUAAUAUUUUAUUGGGGUGAUAUUAAAAUUUGAUAAACUUUUAAUUGUUUAAAUCAUUAAUUUAUGAAUAAUUGAUCCGUUAUUAGCGAUUAAAAAAAUAAGUUACCUUAGGGAUAACAGCG